Non-coding RNA from Manis javanica (Malayan pangolin), 786 nucleotides. The record is from RefSeq and is a predicted model, not a curated record. Lineage: Eukaryota; Metazoa; Chordata; Mammalia; Pholidota; Manidae.
GGAAUCAUUGGUUAUAUUACCAAGGCUUUGCCUGGAAUGUUGUGUUUGAAAAAGAUAUGAAUAGACGCAGAUAUGACCAGACAACUUUAAGGAACUAAGGUCCAGGAACCUCAGGAUAUUUUGGGGACCUCAAGAAGAGAAGAAAUCACCCAAAUGUACAGAUCCAAAACUGCCCUUUGCCUGAGCCAUGCAAUCCAAAGAGGGACAACUUGAUAAAAACUCAGAGAAAUCACCACCACAGCUGUGUAUGGACCAUCUUUGUGCUGGUGGCUGUGUGGGCCACUCAGAAAGAUCAGCAGAGACAUUCAAACUCCAAAAUGGUAAAAUCUAUUAGAUUGCUGUUGUCUACCAUCACUCCAUGGGAAGAUGCUUUGAGCUUGACAUCUAGACAUUGUCUCAUCUGGCUGCCUUCAGAACUCAGAAACUGGGAUUAUAAUCUAUUUGAAUCAUUAAUAGUUUUUUUGCUUGUUUCUGUAGGAUUGCCUCUCAUUAAGUAACCUGAUAUAAAUUCUUGCAUCAUGCAGAUCUAACUUGGGGAACUCACGUGCAUCCCCACCACCUGAAAUGAGACACAACCUUUAUGUGAACUGACCUAUUCUCAGGACUAAGAGACUGAUUUGAUGAGAUAUGGAACAAUCUACCAACUCAGGACAGGUUCAUACCUACUUACACUAGAUGGCUCAAGAUGUGGAAAUAUUUCAUAAUAUUACCCAAAUCCUUGAAAGGAUUCCCAGGGUUGGCUCCCAAGAUCACUGACCUAUUUUCACAGCUGGACCCUUUCAAGUU